RNAcentral lists this non-coding RNA (26 nucleotides) under Cricetulus griseus (Chinese hamster). Lineage: Eukaryota; Metazoa; Chordata; Mammalia; Rodentia; Cricetidae. The record is from RNAcentral.
UAUCCAACCUCAGAACAUUAGCAGCA